Non-coding RNA from Cladobotryum mycophilum, 107 nucleotides. The record is from the annotation of a GenBank genome assembly. Lineage: Eukaryota; Fungi; Ascomycota; Sordariomycetes; Hypocreales; Hypocreaceae.
GCGAGUCUGGCCGAGUGGUUAAGGCGUUGUGUUUAGGUAGCUACUACAUAGUAUUACUUGAACCGCAAUGGGCAUCGCCCGCGUAGGUUCGAUCCCUACGGCUCGCA